UGGGGAAUAUUGCACAAUGGGCGCAAGCCUGAUGCAGCCAUGCCGCGUGUGUGAAGAAGGCCUUCGGGUUGUAAAGCACUUUCAGCGAGGAGGAAGGUGGUGAACUUAAUACGUUCAUCAAUUGACGUUACUCGCAGAAGAAGCACCGGCUAACUCCGUGCCAGCAGCCGCGGUAAUACGGAGGGUGCAAGCGUUAAUCGGAAUUACUGGGCGUAAAGCGCACGCAGGCGGUUUGUUAAGUCAGAUGUGAAAUCCCCGGGCUCAACCUGGGAACUGCAUUUGAAACUGGCAAGCUAGAGUCUCGUAGAGGGGGGUAGAAUUCCAGGUGUAGCGGUGAAAUGCGUAGAGAUCUGGAGGAGUACCGGUGGCGAAGGCGGCCCCCUGGACGAAGACUGACGCUCAGGUGCGAAAGCGUGGGGAGCAAACAGAUUAGAUACCCUGGUAGUCCACGCUGUAAACGAUGUCGAUUUUGGAGGUUGUGCCCUUGAGGCGUGGNUUCCGGAGCUAACG
This 510-nucleotide ribosomal RNA is filed under the name uncultured bacterium. Its description in RNAcentral is "partial 16S ribosomal RNA". It matches the Rfam family "Bacterial small subunit ribosomal RNA", at positions 355 to 857 of the family's 1533-position model. The record is from RNAcentral.